Molecule: transfer RNA, 76 nt
Filed under: Glycomyces rutgersensis
Lineage: Bacteria; Bacillati; Actinomycetota; Actinomycetes; Glycomycetales; Glycomycetaceae
Also listed under: 1 other name
Description: tRNA-His
Rfam family: tRNA
About the family: Transfer RNA (tRNA) molecules are approximately 80 nucleotides in length. Their secondary structure includes four short double-helical elements and three loops (D, anti-codon, and T loops). Further hydrogen bonds mediate the characteristic L-shaped molecular structure. tRNAs have two regions of fundamental functional importance: the anti-codon, which is responsible for specific mRNA codon recognition, and the 3' end, to which the tRNAs corresponding amino acid is attached (by aminoacyl-tRNA synthetases). tRNAs cope with the degeneracy of the genetic code in two manners: having more than one tRNA (with a specific anti-codon) for a particular amino acid; and 'wobble' base-pairing, i.e. permitting non-standard base-pairing at the 3rd anti-codon position.
Source: RNAcentral
GUGACCGUAGUUCAGCUGGUAGAACGCCUCGUUGUGGUCGAGGAGGUCGCGGGUUCGAGCCCCGUCGGUCACCCCA